Molecule: long non-coding RNA, 4663 nt
Filed under: Sus scrofa (pig)
Lineage: Eukaryota; Metazoa; Chordata; Mammalia; Artiodactyla; Suidae
Description: lncRNA (ENSSSCG00030018265.1)
Source: RNAcentral
GUGCUUGAUAAGAAGCAGUGUGGACAACUCUAAAGGACACUGGAAGGGAAGAGGAAGGAAGUACAUUGGUUCUUCAGGAGGCGGGGGAUGCAAUGGACAGGAGAAGUAGCAGUGACAUGGUACCGUCUUGACUCUUGCAAACAAAAUCUACCCUGGUUACCACAAAUGCUUUUCUCCAUGCCUUUGCUUUUGAAAGUAUUAGCUACAAGGAUGAGUCUGGGAUCCCAAGUGGACACUGUGGUGAAAAGCAUGGCUGCUUCUGGAAAGAACUCAGAUGAAGAGAAGGAGGGCCCAUCCUAACUCAGAGUACCUCAUCACAAAUUGGAUUGCAGAGAACUCAAAUGAAGAGGACAAGCAAACUCAGGAAUGUGGAGCACCCAUCAUCUGCCAUGGUCAAGGAGAUAAUCUGUGGAGAGAGAGAGAAAACAGAUGGAGAGAGCUGCACACGCAGAGAUCCACGAGGCUCCUGAGAAUAAACAAGAAUCUCUUGGCUUCUCAAGAGCCUUCCAGACUUUCCUCCUUAUGUUUGGGAGUUUUCCUGACUGCCCUCCUUGACCUUGGUCAGCAAGGACACUUAUAAACUUGGCGGUGUGGGGUGUGUGUGUGUGUGUGUGUGUGUGUAGUGGGGAAGGUCAUGAGAUUUAAGCCAGUUUCUAUUAUUUUUUUUUUGUCUUUUGUCUUUUUAUGGCCACACCCAUGGCAUAUGGAGGUUCCCAGGCUAGGGGUCUAAUUGGAGCUGUAGCUGCUGGCCUACGCCACAGCCACAGCAACACGGGAUCUGAGCUGUGUCUGUGACCUACAGCACAGCUCACAGCAACACUGGAUGCUUAACCCACUGAGCAAGGCCAGGGAUUGAACCCGCAACUUCAUGGUUCCUAGUCGGAUUCAUUAACCAUUGAGCCACAAUGGGAACUCCUGAGUUUCUACUCUUCAUAUACAUAAAGUUCCUAAAGCAUAUUGGUAAUACUUUUCUAUUUUAAUUGAACUUUGGUAUUUACUCUAUCAUUUUCCAAUGGAUGUGGCAUCAACUUAACAUUCUCUAGCCUCUCCUUUCAUUAUUACCUGGCCCCUAAAUAACUUUUGCCCCCACUUCUUGUCCCUCUUCCUCCUUUUGGGGCUCCACCAUCUUUGCCUCUGCUCAGCUAUUUCUUCAACUUCAUCCUUAUUCCUAGAUGUUCUAGGCAAUCUCCUACUCAACUCAAAGCUCAACAAAAUAUCUCUUCCUCUGUAAUGUCUUUCUGAAUAAUUCAGGAAAGAUGAAUCAUUUUGCUGUUUAUAUUCACACAGUAUUUUAUUUGCCUUUAAUAUAUUAUGUUAUCAUUAGUGGUUAAAGUGUUUCCCUCAAGGGUAGAGACUGGGUAUCCCUCUCUAUUACUUAUCUUUUAUCACCAUUAUGUAGGACGGCACCAGGAGGGGAAUAAUAAGUGCUCAGAAAAAAAAAAUAUAUGUUUUGUAUGAAUGGACUCAGGAAAUAUCACAGCAAAUAUGUGUAUGUGAUGUUUUGUGAAUUCUAGAAAUAAAGUAUGUCAUCCAAGAGUGGUAUAAAUACAUAUAUAUUAUAAGAAUUCCAUAUAGCAUAAGGUACUAAGGAUAAUCAGCAAAUAUAGUGGUUAAUGAAAAAUACCACCAUUAAGGAAUACAUUAAAAUGAAGUUUUGUAAGAACCAAAAAUCAGACUAAAGUUUUCCUUCCUUUUUUUCUUAUAAAAGUAAAAUAUUGAAGAUAAACAGCAUAAAAGAUUAAUUUUUUGGACUAGACCUAUUUAUUUAAGAUAGAAGAAAGAUUCAUUGAUCAUACUAUUAAGAAAUAUGCAUAUUUUCAUGUGCAUGUGUGUAGUAAGGUUUUAAAAUACAAUGUACCCAUUAUUUUCCUCAAAUUCAGGCAAAAGUGUUCUUAAGGACUUACUUUCACUUGUUUUAUUAUUAGGAACAUAGUACAUUUGGUGAUUAUAUAUAGUUCCAUUAUUAAAAUAUAUUAUAUAAUACAUAAUAAAAUAAAAACAUACAGUGGUUUUAAUCAUUAGAUACGUAUUCUAGGAAAAAACUCAAUUCUAUUAAUGCUUUCUCGCUCUGCCUAUUCCUGGCAAGCAGGAACAUCACAGAACAUUCCACACUGGUAGCCAGGUGAUCUAGGCCUGGCCCAUCAGCCUACUUCAAUUUGCAACUCAGGCUUCUUCUUAACUCUUUCCUACUUAAGUCUGAAGGUUGUUGUGAAGAUAAAAUAGGAUAAUGCUCAUGCUAGUUCUUUGAAAAGUAUAAAGCACUAUAUAAAUGGAAGACGUUAUUGUAAAAGGGAGUUUAAAACUAUAGCAUAAAAAGACGUUAUAAAAAUAAAAUAAAAGUGACUCUAGUCACUUAUUUUUAUGAGGUACUUUUCUCUCUUUGGAAAAAUAUAAUUUACUAAUUCAAGAGAGAGCUAUUAAUUUCUCAGUCCUUCACAGCCAUUAAAGCAGGGAUGAUGACUUCAAUUCAGUUUACAAAUGGAGUGGGCAUACUGCAGGGGAAUGCUACUCUCAGGUUACAUAUAAAUGGAAUUAAAUUAAAUUAAUGAAAAGAGAAGAAAAGCAUGUGUAUAUAAACAACUAACUCAUCCCCUAUGAGGCCCAAUCAUUGUCUGAAAUGAGGCAUCAGUUAAAAUAUCUUCACUUUUGCACAUCUCUUUCCUGUACUUCUCCAGAUUUCAUUUGGAAAUUAUUUCUAAAAUAUUAUUAAUAAAAAUAAUAUCCGUAUGACACUUUGAACACUUCGAAUAAAAUUAUCAUCAGGUUUUAAAUUCAGUGGGGUAUAGUGAGCCUCUAUGUACCUGCAAUGAUAUGUCCAUGAGAGUACUUAACAAUUUUGUAUGUCUCCAGAAUUCAUAGGGCAAAUCACCCAAUGUCAGAAAAUCAUCUUGGUAAAUGCGGAAAACUGAACUCAUGGCCAUAGAUACUUUUAAUUAGAUAAGAAUUGUCUCUAUACUUUGAUUUUUGACUAUUAUAUCAAAUCUCUUUGGGCUUUUUAAUAAUUUCCAAAAUACAAUGAUAGAUCAAAAUGUAGAGUAUAAGAAAAGGAAAACAAUUUUUUAAACGGCAUGAAGCUUCAUUUGUUUGUUCUGUAAGUUAUCAUCUGAUGCAACCUUCCUGAUGAUUAGUGAUAAUCUGCUGCUGACAAUAAAUCUUGCUGGGUUAGAGAUGAGGGAUAUCUCUGAAUGACCUUAGGGAAAUCUAUGAACAUUUCUAAGACCCAGGUUCUUUACUGGCAGAAUGAAGGAAUUGAUACUUAAUUUUCAAGCUCUUUGUAAUUCUUGAGAGGGUCAAUAGUUAAAAAUCAAAUGACAUAAAUGUUCAUAAAUGUAGUUAUUAUUAAUAUGCCUUGACAUUGUAUAAAUAUAUGUGAAAUGGCAUAUUCCUUGUGGGGGGCAGACGGGGCAUAACAUAGGCUCUCUAUACAUAGCAGUCUUUGUCAUGUUUUUAUUGAUAAUUUGUAUGAAGAUAAAGAAUUCAUUAAUAGAAUCUGCUAAUGGCAAAAAAAUAAGAGUAUCAGAAAUGAGAUACCUGAAUCGAUUCCCCAAAUGAAUUCAAAUUAAGGAGAUGAAACUUACAAAGUUGUAGGGCUCUAUAUUUAAGUUUCAAAAUCCAAAUUCUGAGAAAUAGGUUAGAGAAAACUGUGGCUUAGCAGUAGUAAGUCUAUCUAUGUCAUUAGUCUGUUUACUUUUCUAUCUAUAAGCUAAAAGAGAGACACACUUAAGGUCUUAAGUUAUGAGUAAGCAUUAUUUAGAUCAUUGGAAAUAUGUGGUUACAAAGGUACUAAGAUUUGGGCAGAACACAAUGAAGUAUUUAUAUUUGCAAUAGUCCCAUUGUACCCAAAACUGAUCAGACAAAUCUGGGAAUAUUUUGUACAAUUCUGGGUACCAGGUUUUUGGAAGAAAAGAGACAAAUUAGAAUAUUAGACAAGAGUAAGAACAUCAGUAACAAAUGUCAUUAAAUAUGGAUCAAAUCUGUGGUAAGCUUUAAUGAAGAUUACAGCCCACUGUGGAUGGUAUCACUCUUACCUCAGGUUAGGAGAUACAAAUAACAUCCUCAUAACCAUAUGAAGAAGAAGUACUGGUACAGGAUUUGAGUCUAGAAGUCUAAACUAACUCCAGAACUGAUGCUGUUAGUUUCACACCAUUCUUAUUCUUUUUGUAUGUGACAUAUAUUAUAGAGAUUCACCUGUGAGGGUAGCUGAGAAAUGAGGGGCUUUUUAGCUUAGAAUAGAAAAGACACAGGGGAAAAGCUGACAGGCACCAUCAAAUUUGUGAAGGUCUUUUAAGGUCAAUGGGAUGAAACUGCAGAUAGAUUACUGUUAAAUAAAAGUGGCCAGUCACAGGUGAGAGAGAGAGAGAAAAUUUCUAUCACAGUGGAGAAAUAGCAUCAGGUCUGCAGCAUAAUUUAAAGAUUAUCAGCCUGGGCUUUUGCAUCAAGUGACACACUAUAUCUACUAUAUUAUAAUUUACUAGCCUUGCAAUCUUGUCAAGAGAUUUUAAGUAUUUAAGCCAAUUUUUCUUCUCUAAAAUAAGUAAAAUACUAUAUGUCUGAGAUAAUUACACACAAAAUUCCCUCAAAUCAUGAAAAGUUCAAUAAGUAUUAAUCCAACAGUAGCAUUUGAAUUUGAAAGUCCAUAAUAAAUGAGAGAUUUUAUUACACC